RNAcentral lists this ribosomal RNA (508 nucleotides) under uncultured bacterium. RNAcentral's name for it is "partial 16S ribosomal RNA". It matches the Rfam family "Bacterial small subunit ribosomal RNA", at positions 28 to 507 of the family's 1533-position model. The record is from RNAcentral.
GACGAACGCUGGCGGCGUGCCUAAUACAUGCAAGUCGAACGCUUCUUUCCUCCCGAGUGCUUGCACUCAAUUGGAAAGAGGAGUGGCGGACGGGUGAGUAACACGUGGGUAACCUACCCAUCAGAGGGGGAUGACACUUGGAAACAGGUGCUAAUACCGCAUAACAGUUUAUGCCGCAUGGCAUAAGAGUGAAAGGCGCUUUCGGGUGUCGCUGAUGGAUGGACCCGCGGUGCAUUAGCUAGUUGGUGAGGUAACGGCUCACCAAGGCCACGAUGCAUAGCCGCCCUGAGAGGGUGAUCGGCCACACUGGGACUGAGACACGGCCCAGACUCCUACGGGAGGCAGCAGUAGGGAAUCUUCGGCAAUGGACGAAAGUCUGACCGAGCAACGCCGCGUGAGUGAAGAAGGUUUUCGGAUCGUAAAACUCUGUUGUUAGAGAAGAACAAGGACGUUAGUAACUGAACGUCCCCUGACGGUAUCUAACCAGAAAGCCACGGCUAACUACGUG